GGUGGCUCAGUGGUAGAGUGCUUGCCUUGCAUGCAUGACGCCCUGGGUUCGAUUCCUCAGUACCA
RNAcentral lists this transfer RNA (65 nucleotides) under Dipodomys ordii (Ord's kangaroo rat). It matches the Rfam family "tRNA". From Rfam's summary of the family: Transfer RNA (tRNA) molecules are approximately 80 nucleotides in length. Lineage: Eukaryota; Metazoa; Chordata; Mammalia; Rodentia; Heteromyidae. The record is from Rfam by way of RNAcentral.